This 295-nucleotide ribosomal RNA is filed under the name Heteropoda venatoria (giant crab spider). Its description in RNAcentral is "partial 12S ribosomal RNA". Lineage: Eukaryota; Metazoa; Arthropoda; Arachnida; Araneae; Sparassidae. The record is from RNAcentral.
GGCAUUUUAUUUUAUUAGAGGAACUUGUUCUUUAAUCGAUACUCCACGAUAACUUUCACUUUUCUUCAAAGUUUAUAUACCGCCAUCUCAAGAAUUAUUUUUUAUAAAUUACCUCAAAAACAAAUAAAAAGUUAGGUCAAGGUGUAGCUAAAAUUAAAGCAGAAAUGAGUUACUUUAAAAACUAUUUAAGGAUUAAAAUUUCAAAAUUUAUCAGAAAAAGGAUUUAUCAGUAAUAUCUAAAUAAUAAUUCUAUUUGAAAUUUCCAAUAAAUGUGCACACAUCGCCCGUCGCUCUU